AACGAACGCUGGCGGCAUGCCUAACACAUGCAAGUCGAACGAGACCUUCGGGUCUAGUGGCGCACGGGUGCGUAACGCGUGGGAACCUGCCCUUAGGUUCGGAAUAACUCCCCGAAAGGGGUGCUAAUACCGGAUAAUGUCCUCGGACCAAAGAUUUAUCGCCUUUGGAUGGGCCCGCGUUGGAUUAGCUAGUUGGUAGGGUAAAAGCCUACCAAGGCGACGAUCCAUAGCUGGUCUGAGAGGAUGAACAGCCACACUGGGACUGAGACACGGCCCAGACUCCUACGGGAGGCAGCAGUGGGGAAUAUUGGACAAUGGGCGGAAGCCUGAUCCAGCAAUGCCGCGUGAGUGAUGAAGGCCUUAGGGUUGUAAAGCUCUUUUACCCGGGAUGAUAAUGACAGUACCGGGAGAAUAAGCUCCGGCUAACUACGUG
This 433-nucleotide ribosomal RNA is filed under the name uncultured bacterium. RNAcentral's name for it is "partial 16S ribosomal RNA". It matches the Rfam family "Bacterial small subunit ribosomal RNA", at positions 29 to 507 of the family's 1533-position model. The record is from RNAcentral.